UGCCAGCAGCCGCGGUAAUACUGAAGGUGCAAGCGUUAAUCGGAAUCACUGGGCGUAAAGCGCUCGUAGGUGGCUUUGUAAGUCAGAUGUGAAAGCCCACGGCUCAACCGUGGAAUUGCAUUUGAUACUGCAUCGCUAGAGUAUAGGAGAGGGAAGUGGAAUUUCUGGUGUAGGAGUGAAAUCCGUAGAGAUCAGAAGGAACACCGGUGGCGAAGGCGACUUCCUGGACUAUUACUGACACUGAGAAGCCUAAGCGUGUGGGUCAAGCAGGGUUAGAUG
This 279-nucleotide ribosomal RNA is filed under the name uncultured bacterium. Its description in RNAcentral is "partial 16S ribosomal RNA". It matches the Rfam family "Bacterial small subunit ribosomal RNA", at positions 506 to 784 of the family's 1533-position model. The record is from RNAcentral.